RNAcentral lists this ribosomal RNA (493 nucleotides) under uncultured bacterium. Its description in RNAcentral is "partial 16S ribosomal RNA". It matches the Rfam family "Bacterial small subunit ribosomal RNA", at positions 30 to 523 of the family's 1533-position model. The record is from RNAcentral.
AUUGAACGCUGGCGGCAUGCUUUACACAUGCAAGUCGAACGGUAACAGGUUAAGCUGACGAGUGGCGGACGGGUGAGUAAUGCAUCGGAACGUGCCCGAUCGUGGGGGAUAACGCAGCGAAAGCUGCGCUAAUACCGCAUACGAUCUGAGGAUGAAAGCGGGGGACCGUAAGGCCUCGCGCGAUCGGAGCGGCCGAUGUCAGAUUAGGUAGUUGGUGGGGUAAAGGCUCACCAAGCCAACGAUCUGUAGCUGGUCUGAGAGGACGACCAGCCACACUGGGACUGAGACACGACCCAGACUCCUACGGGAGGCAGCAGUGGGGAAUUUUGGACAAUGGGCGAAAGCCUGAUCCAGCAAUGCCGCGUGCAGGAAGAAGGCCUUCGGGUUGUAAACUGCUUUUGUACGGAGCGAAAAGGCUCUCUCUAAUACAGGGGGCUCAUGACGGUACCGUAAGAAUAAGCACCGGCUAACUACGUGCCAGCAGCCGCCGUAA